GACGAACGCUGGCGGCGUGCUUAACACAUGCAAGUGGAGCGACGAACCCGAGCUUGCUCGGGGGCAAAGCCGCGAACGGGUGAGUAACACGUGGGUAAUCUGCCCUGAUGAUUGGGACAACCUCGGGAAACCGAGGCUAAUACCAAAUGUGCUCGUACCUACAUCAGUAGGAACGAGGAAAGGAGGCUUCGGCUUCCGCAUCGGGAUGAGCCCGCGGCCCAUUAGCUUGUUGGNGGGGUAAUGGCCUACCAAGGCUUCGAUGGGUAGCUGGUCUGAGAGGACGAUCAGCCACACUGGGACUGAGACACGGCCCAGACUCCUACGGGAGGCAGCAGUGGGGAAUCUUGCGCAAUGCGCGAAAGCGUGACGCAGCAACGCCGCGUGA
This 385-nucleotide ribosomal RNA is filed under the name uncultured bacterium. RNAcentral describes it as "bacterial SSU rRNA". It matches the Rfam family "Bacterial small subunit ribosomal RNA", at positions 28 to 404 of the family's 1533-position model. The record is from RNAcentral.